GACGAACGCUGGCGGCGUGCUUAACACAUGCAAGUCGAACGGAAAGGCCCUGCUUUUGUGGGGUGCUCGAGUGGCGAACGGGUGAGUAACACGUGAGUAACCUGCCCUUGACUUUGGGAUAACUUCAGGAAACUGGGGCUAAUACCGGAUAGGAGCUCCUGCUGCAUGGUGGGGGUUGGAAAGUUUCGGCGGUUGGGGAUGGACUCGCGGCUUAUCAGCUUGUUGGUGGGGUAGUGGCUUACCAAGGCUUUGACGGGUAGCCGGCCUGAGAGGGUGACCGGCCACAUUGGGACUGAGAUACGGCCCAGACUCCUACGGGAGGCAGCAGUGGGGAAUAUGGCACAAUGGGCGGAAGCCUGAUGCAGCAACGCCGCGUGCGGGAUGACGGCCUUCGGGUUGUGAACCGCUUUCGCCUGUGACGAAGCGUGAGUGACGGUAAUGGGUAAAGAAGCACCGGCUAACUACGUG
Molecule: ribosomal RNA, 468 nt
Filed under: uncultured bacterium
Lineage: Bacteria
Description: partial 16S ribosomal RNA
Rfam family: Bacterial small subunit ribosomal RNA
Source: RNAcentral